AUGAACGGAGGAGGUAGCGCGACGCCCUUCUCCCGCACCACCACCACCCUCAGCACCACUUCUUCUUCUACCUUGCAAGCAGGUGAGUCGGGACAAGGGGACAGGGAAGCUGCUAUUCAAGCCGAGAUGGCCAGGGUUAACAACCUGCCAGCCAAUAGUUCCUACGCGAUUCACCGCAUCAAGGUGCUGAACAAACUUCGCCAUCUUUUAUCUAUAAAGGUAAGAUUUACGUAA
RNAcentral lists this ribosomal RNA (234 nucleotides) under Triticum aestivum (bread wheat). RNAcentral describes it as "partial small subunit ribosomal RNA". The record is from RNAcentral. Lineage: Eukaryota; Viridiplantae; Streptophyta; Magnoliopsida; Poales; Poaceae.